This 1417-nucleotide long non-coding RNA is filed under the name Dasypus novemcinctus (nine-banded armadillo). RNAcentral's name for it is "lncRNA (ENSDNOG00000052700.1)". Lineage: Eukaryota; Metazoa; Chordata; Mammalia; Cingulata; Dasypodidae. The record is from RNAcentral.
GGCUUCCCCCACCCCAGUGUCUCACACCAAUAAAUAUGGAUUAGGGAAAUGGGCAGAGUUUUUCCCACGGGCCUGAAAGGCCACAUCUGACCUUUCUACCCGCUUUAUGUACCAACGUGACAGUCAGAGAGAGCAAAGAGCAGGACCCCCUGAGAUGCCCCCCUCCCCCAUGGCCUUCUGACUUCGAGAAACUUUUCACCCUCCUCCUCCUACCCAACCCCAGACCAGGUCUCAGCCCCGCCUGCGCCUCUGUCCCAGGAUUGAGGAAGAGACUGGUUUGGAGGAGGGGGUCAGGAGCUCCAGGCUCGGUGUCUGCCUCAGGCUCUGCCCACCCUGACUGGCACAGAGCCAGCAGCGCGGGCAGCGAUCAACAUCUGUCAAGGCCCUUCCUGCCUCCUGUACCAGUCUUCGGCUCCUUGGUUCCCUGUCCUGCCCCCCUCUGCCCUCUCUGGCCCCCUUUCUGCCUGGCGCCUCCUCCACUGAGAGCGCCCCCCCGCCCAAUUUCUCUCCUUUCCCAUCACUCUCUUCUCUACUUUGUUUCACUCUUUCUUCCUUCUCCGGGAUGGACUGUCUUCGCUCAGUCCCCUCUACUUCUCCGUACCCCGCCCCCCACCAAACUAGGAAUCCUCAUGGCUGACGUGGCUGAAGUCCCGCAGAGAAGAUGGCAGGAAGGGGUGUGAAGGAGAGAAGGGUGGGGGCAGUGAUCUCUCUCCCUGGUUCCCUGGCUCACUGGCCACCGGCUGGGGGUGGAGACCAGCGGCUCUGAAUGGAGGCAGUGUAGAGACAGGAAAAGCAAACACCUCAGCCUGGGCCACGCUUUCCUGCUUGGUGAGAGUAGGGGAGGAUGGGGCAGGGGCCUGCGCUCAUCCCAGCCUCCCCAAUCUGCCCUCUCCCCACUCCUGAAGACCCCACCGUCUCUGUAAGGGCAGUGGCAUUAAAGACUGGGGACAAGCCCUCCAGGAACACCUUUGCCCAAAUCUCUCCCUGCCCCUCUGCCCAACCCCUGGCCAGUGCCCUUCCUGCCCAGCAGAUGCCAGGGAAAUCUGUGGCCGGGAAGGGCGGUCUGGGAUCUGAGUGCCCGUCUGAGCAGCCCUUAGCAGCAGGAACUGGGCAGGGAAAUCACUUUGUGGCAGACGUGCCCGGCAAUACCAUCCGCCUCCUGGGCCCAAUGCAGAACCAAAAUUCUCUGCCUGGGAGGUCUCCACUAAAGGUCAUUGUGGUCAUUCCCCUGCACCUGUGCAUCUGCCCAGGCCAAGCUCUGCUCACAAACAAGAAUCAAUCUAGUUUUUAAAGGCACCUGCUCCAAGGAUGGAAUUCCCCCUGGGGGUAAUCAGACAUUUAUUUAUUCAUAGCCUUCUGGCUGGGAGGGGAGGCCCUCCCACCCAGAAGUCACCGGUGGGUGGGUGUCCAGCUGCCU